UACAGAGGUCUCAAGCGUUGUUCGGAUUCAUUGGGCGUAAAGCGCACGCAGGCGGUCGAUUAAGUUUGGAGUGACAGUUGGUGGCUUAACUGCCAAAGUGCUUUGAAAACUGAUCGACUUGAGGGCUUCAGAGGGACACGGAAUUCCGGGUGGAGUGGUGAAAUGCGUAGAGAUCCGGAGGAACACCGAAGGCGAAGGCAGUGUCCUGGGGAGUACCUGACGCUCAGGUGCGAAAGCCAGGGGAGCGAACGGG
Molecule: ribosomal RNA, 253 nt
Filed under: uncultured bacterium
Lineage: Bacteria
Description: partial 16S ribosomal RNA
Rfam family: Bacterial small subunit ribosomal RNA
Source: RNAcentral